ACUCAAAGGAAUUGACGGGGACCCGCACAAGCAGCGGAGCGUGUGGUUUAAUUCGAUGCGACGCGAAGAACCUUACCUGGGUUCAAUGUGAGUUGCACCAUCCGUAAUGGGAUGUCCCCGCAAGGGGCGGCUCGCACGGUGCUGCAUGGCUGUCGUCAGUUCGUGCCGUGAGGUGUUGGGUUAAGUCCCCUAACGAACGCAACCCCCGGUGCCGGUUAUCCAUCCGGCGCAACUGCCGCGCAGAACGCGGAGGAAGGUGGGGAUGAUGUCAAGUCAGCACGGCCCUUACGCCCAGGGCUACACACACGCUACAAUGGCCGGGACAAUGAGUUGCAAACCUGCAAGGGGGAGCUAAUCUAUUAAACCCGGUCUCAGUUCGGAUAGCAGGCUGCAACCCGCCUGCUUGAAGUCGGAGUUGCUAGUAAACGCUGGUCAGCACACAGCGUUGAAUACGUUCCCGGGUCUUGUACACACCGCCCGU
This 481-nucleotide ribosomal RNA is filed under the name uncultured bacterium. RNAcentral describes it as "partial 16S ribosomal RNA". It matches the Rfam family "Bacterial small subunit ribosomal RNA", at positions 899 to 1397 of the family's 1533-position model. The record is from RNAcentral.